RNAcentral lists this ribosomal RNA (460 nucleotides) under uncultured Bacteroidota bacterium. RNAcentral's name for it is "bacterial SSU rRNA". It matches the Rfam family "Bacterial small subunit ribosomal RNA", at positions 338 to 795 of the family's 1533-position model. Lineage: Bacteria; Pseudomonadati; Bacteroidota. The record is from RNAcentral.
CCUACGGGAGGCUGCAGUGGGGAAUAUUGGUCAAUGGGCGAGAGCCUGAACCAGCCAUCCCGCGUGAAGGAAGAAGGCGCUAUGCGUUGUAAACUUCUUUUUCAGGGGGAUAAAAUAUUGUAUGUAUACGAUACUGAAGGUACCCUGAGAAUAAGCAUCGGCUAACUCCGUGCCAGCAGCCGCGGUAAUACGGAGGAUGCGAGCGUUAUCCGGAUUUAUUGGGUUUAAAGGGUGCGUAGGCGGAAUAAUAAGUCAGUGGUGAAACCCUGCAGCUUAACUGUAGACUUGCCAUUGAUACUGUUUUUCUUGAGUAUGGUCAAGGCAGGCGGAAUGUGUAAUGUAGCGGUGAAAUGCUUAGAUAUUACACAGAACACCGAUAGCGAAGGCAGCUUGCUGGGCCGUUACUGACGCUGAUGCACGAAAGCGUGGGGAUCGAACAGGAUUAGAUACCCCUGUAGUC